UGAGGAAUAUUGGUCAAUGGGCGAAAGCCUGAACCAGCCAAGUAGCGUGCAGGAUGACGGCCCUAUGGGUUGUAAACUGCUUUUAUGCGGGGAUAAAGUGCGGCACGUGUGGCGUUUUGCAUGUACCUCAUGAAUAAGGACCGGCUAAUUCCGUG
RNAcentral lists this ribosomal RNA (155 nucleotides) under uncultured bacterium. RNAcentral describes it as "partial 16S ribosomal RNA". It matches the Rfam family "Bacterial small subunit ribosomal RNA", at positions 355 to 507 of the family's 1533-position model. The record is from RNAcentral.